GACGAACGCUGGCGGCGUGCUUAACACAUGCAAGUCGAACGGAAAGGCCCUGCUUUUGUGGGGUGCUCGAGUGGCGAACGGGUGAGUAACACGUGAGUAACCUGCCCUUGACUUUGGGAUAACUUCAGGAAACUGGGGCUAAUACCGGAUAGGAGCUCCUGCUGCAUGGUGGGGGUUGGAAAGUUUCGGCGGUUGGGGAUGGACUCGCGGCUUAUCAGCUUGUUGGUGGGGUAGUGGCUUACCAAGGCUUUGACGGGUAGCCGGCCUGAGAGGGUGACCGGACGCAGGGGCACGGGGGGGCGGCGACGGCCGGGGCUGGAGGGGGGAGGGGGUAGUAUUGCACGGUGGGGGGAAGCGGGGCGGGGGAGCGGGGGGGGGGGGGGGGCGGCCUUGGGGUUGGACUCCGUUUGGGGGGGUGGCGGAGGGGGAGGGGCGGUAAUGGGAAAAGAAGCGCGGGUAAAUGACGGGGCGGCGGCGGGGGUAAUAGGAGGAAGAGCAAACGUCGGAGC
RNAcentral lists this ribosomal RNA (509 nucleotides) under uncultured bacterium. RNAcentral's name for it is "partial 16S ribosomal RNA". The stretch from base 20 to 325 matches the Rfam family "Bacterial small subunit ribosomal RNA", at positions 47 to 358 of the family's 1533-position model. The record is from RNAcentral.